CAUGUGACCAGUUCCUGGGCACUCCCUCCUCAUGCAUACGGUAAUGAGGGAGGGGCCCAGUGGAGAAUAAAAGCAUGCAUGCCCAAGUAUUCUUUAGCUCAUUCGGGAGGCCGCAACUUAUGCAUAUAAUGUUGGGGGAUGGGCUCAGGACUUUCAACCUCUUGCCUCAGAGGGCACAGGAUAUUCGUAGGUCCUUCCAACGGACAUGAGGGCACCAACUCCGUUUAGAAGAAAGGAGGUUUCGUUAAAGUAUUCGGAAAGGAUUUUUUACUGUGAGAGCUGUGAAGUUAUACACAUAUGAUUGUGUCCCUACACACUCUGGCAAUAAAAUCAUCAAGUUUGCGGACGAUACUACGGUGAUCGGACUUAUCUCUGGAAAAGAGAGUGAGAUGGAAUACAGGAAUGAAGUGGAAUGGCUGUCAGAAUGGUGUAAAGACAACAACCUGCUCCUGAACAUUGCAAAAACCAAGGAACUGGUCAUUGACUUUAGGAAAAAUAAGAGCAACAUUGAACCACUCAUCAUUGAUAGAAUGCAGGUGGAGAGGGUUUCAGUGUUUAAAUUCCUAGGAAUGGAGUUGGAGGAUAAUCUGAAGUGGAGUAUAAACUCUAAGGGGCUGUUUAAGAAAGCGCAGCAAAGAUUGUACUUUCUGAGAGUUCUGAGGAAAAACCAUCUACCUAAAAAUCUUCUUUGUGCCUUUUAUCACUGUUCCAUCGAAAGCAUACUUACAUAUGGACUAUGUGUGUGGUUCCGGUGCCUGUACCUCCAAAGAUGCUAAGGCACUUCAGAGGGUUGUCAGGUCAGCAGAGAAAAUAAUUGAUUGUUCGCUCCCAACCCUAGAACACAUCUACAUCUCACGUUGUCAAAAAAAAGCUCUGGGUAUUGCACAAGAUCCGACUCAUCCUGGCCACUGUCUCUUCCAGCUCUUGCCAUCGGGGAGGAGAUAUAGAACAAUGAAAGCCAAAACUAAUCGUUUGAGAGACAGUUUUUAUCCAAGAGCAAUUAUGGCUUUGAAUAUGAAACAGUAGAAUGAUAUUUUCUAUUAUUAUGCCACUGCUUUGAGUUGUUGCUAUUUUAAAAUCUCGUUGUUUACUAUGUGACAAUGACAAUAAAGAUAUAUUCUAUUCUAAA
Xenopus tropicalis (tropical clawed frog) is the source of this 1129-nucleotide long non-coding RNA. RefSeq lists it as uncharacterized. The record is from RefSeq and is a predicted model, not a curated record. Lineage: Eukaryota; Metazoa; Chordata; Amphibia; Anura; Pipidae. The transcript has 2 exons.